AUUGAACGCUGGCGGAAUGCUUUACACAUGCAAGUCGAGCGGCAGCACGGGGGCAACCCUGGUGGCGAGCGGCGAACGGGUGAGUAAUACAUCGGAACAUGCCCAGUCGUGGGGGAUAACACUUCGAAAGAAGUGCUAAUACCGCAUACGUCCUGAGGGGGAAAGCGGGGGAUCGCAAGACCUCGCGCGAUUGGAGUGGCCGAUGUCAGAUUAGCUAGUUGGUGGGGUAAAGGCCUACCAAGGCAACGAUCUGUAGCUGGUCUGAGAGGAUGAUCAGCCACACUGGGACUGAGACACGGCCCAGACUCCUACGGGAGGCAGCAGUGGGGAAUUUUGGACAAUGGGGGCAACCCUGAUCCAGCCAUUCCGCGUGAGUGAAGAAGGCCUUCGAGUUGUAAAGCUCUUUCGGCAGGAACGAAACGGUGAGCUCUAACAUAGCUUGCUAAUGACGGUACCUGAAGAAGAAGCACCGGCUAACUACGUG
This 484-nucleotide ribosomal RNA is filed under the name uncultured bacterium. RNAcentral's name for it is "partial 16S ribosomal RNA". It matches the Rfam family "Bacterial small subunit ribosomal RNA", at positions 30 to 507 of the family's 1533-position model. The record is from RNAcentral.